This is a long non-coding RNA of Fukomys damarensis (Damara mole-rat), 713 nucleotides long. RefSeq lists it as uncharacterized. The record is from RefSeq and is a predicted model, not a curated record. Lineage: Eukaryota; Metazoa; Chordata; Mammalia; Rodentia; Bathyergidae. The transcript has 3 exons.
GCUGCUUUCUGACUGCAAUGCCAUGAAUUGUUUCUCUUCUGCGAUGCCUCUCUCCCAUGCCACCCUGUCGUAGAGCUAGCUGACUACGGACUGAAACCUCUACAAAGGGCCUAGAAGCAACAGAGUCCAGUAACAAUGGACUGAAGUCAUGAGCCAAAAGAAACCAUUGCUCCUCUAUGCCGAUCUUCUCAUAUAUUUGGAAACAACAACAAAGAAGCUGACUAAUACAACGUCAGAGUUCCAAAAAUGCCAUUUCAUAAAUGAUGCAUGAAUACUGGGCAGACACCUGGCCUGGAUGGAGAGGGAAGAGAUGAAAAAAGGAGAUCCCCUGUGCAACAUCCGAGAGAGAAGAGCUCUCUUCAUGGUACACUGAUAAAUCUCCCCAGACUCAGGCUGUGACACAGGCUGGCACCACCAAUUUCUGCUUAUGCCAUUAUGGCUUUUUAAGUUACUCACCAAAGUUCAUCAUCAAGCCUUCAGGGGGAGUGAUCUAGAUAGAGCCUCCUUUUUAUGCACUUUUAUUUUAGUAACUUGAAAAUAAAUUAAAUUCAGGGUUUUUCAUUUGCAUCCGGCAUUGAUUUUGAUAAAGUAGCUUAAAUUAGCAGAAGAAUCACACACCUGUGCCAAAUUUUCAUAUCAACCUCCUCAAGGCUCUGAGUCAGGCAAGAAUUCACAUCCCCAAAUGAUCUCUUGUUUCAUUAUGCACAUUGAUA